GGUUAAGCGACUAAGCGUACACGGUGGAUGCCCUGGCAGUCAGAGGCGAUGAAGGGCGUGCUAAUCUGCGAUAAGCGCCGGUAAGGUGAUAUGAACCGUUAUAACCGGCGAUACCCGAAUGGGGAAACCCAGUGUGACUCGUCACACUAUCAUUAACUGAAUCCAUAGGUUAAUGAGGCGAACCGGGGGAACUGAAACAUCUAAGUACCCCGAGGAAAAGAAAUCAACCGAGAUUCCCCCAGUAGCGGCGAGCGAACGGGGAGGAGCCCAGAGCCUGAAUCAGCAUGUGUGUUAGUGGAAGCGUCUGGAAAGGCGCGCGAUACAGGGUGACAGCCCCGUACACAAAAGCGCAUGUGCUGUGAGCUCGAUGAGUAGGGCGGGACACGUGGUAUCCUGUCUGAAUAUGGGGGGACCAUCCUCCAAGGCUAAAUACUCCUGACUGACCGAUAGUGAACCAGUACCGUGAGGGAAAGGCGAAAAGAACCCCGGCGAGGGGAGUGAAAAAGAACCUGAAACCGUGUACGUACAAGCAGUGGGAGCACCCUUCGGGGUGUGACUGCGUACCUUUUGUAUAAUGGGUCAGCGACUUAUAUUCUGUAGCAAGGUUAACCGUAUAGGGGAGCCGGAGGGAAACCGAGUCUUAAUUGGGCGUUAAGUUGCAGGGUAUAGACCCGAAACCCGGUGAUCUAGCCAUGGGCAGGUUGAAGGUUGGGUAACACUAACUGGAGGACCGAACCGACUAAUGUUGAAAAAUUAGCGGAUGACCUGUGGCUGGGGGUGAAAGGCCAAUCAAACCGGGAGAUAGCUGGUUCUCCCCGAAAGCUAUUUAGGUAGCGCCUCGUGAAUUCAUCUCCGGGGGUAGAGCACUGUUUCGGCUAGGGGGCCAUCCCGGCUUACCAACCCGAUGCAAACUGCGAAUACCGGAGAAUGUUAUCACGGGAGACACACGGCGGGUGCUAACGUCCGUCGUGAAGAGGGAAACAACCCAGACCGCCAGCUAAGGUCCCAAAGUCAUGGUUAAGUGGGAAACGAUGUGGGAAGGCCCAGACAGCCAGGAUGUUGGCUUAGAAGCAGCCAUCAUUUAAAGAAAGCGUAAUAGCUCACUGGUCGAGUCGGCCUGCGCGGAAGAUGUAACGGGGCUAAACCAUGCACCGAAGCUGCGGCAGCGAACGUAUCACCCAAGACAACUUUACGGAGUUGACGAUUGACGGAGCGAAGCGACGUCAAAGCGUUCAUUAAAGUCGAGUUGGCUUAGGGAUACGUUCGUUGGGUAGGGGAGCGUUCUGUAAGCCUGUGAAGGUGUGUCGUGAGGCAUGCUGGAGGUAUCAGAAGUGCGAAUGCUGACAUAAGUAACGAUAAAGCGGGUGAAAAGCCCGCUCGCCGGAAGACCAAGGGUUCCUGUCCAACGUUAAUCGGGGCAGGGUGAGUCGACCCCUAAGGCGAGGCCGAAAGGCGUAGUCGAUGGGAAACGGGUUAAUAUUCCCGUACUUGGUGUUACUGCGAAGGGGGGACGGAGAAGGCUAUGUUGGCCGGGCGACGGUUGUCCCGGUUUAAGCGUGUAGGUGUGUGUUCCAGGUAAAUCCGGUUCACUUUAACACUGAGGCGUGACGACGAGGCACUACGGUGCUGAAGCAACAAAUGCCCUGCUUCCAGGAAAAGCCUCUAAGCAUCAGGUAACACGAAAUCGUACCCCAAACCGACACAGGUGGUCAGGUAGAGAAUACCAAGGCGCUUGAGAGAACUCGGGUGAAGGAACUAGGCAAAAUGGUGCCGUAACUUCGGGAGAAGGCACGCUGACACGUAGGUGAAGUGAUUUACUCAUGGAGCUGAAGUCAGUCGAAGAUACCAGCUGGCUGCAACUGUUUAUUAAAAACACAGCACUGUGCAAACACGAAAGUGGACGUAUACGGUGUGACGCCUGCCCGGUGCCGGAAGGUUAAUUGAUGGGGUCAGCGUAAGCGAAGCUCCUGAUCGAAGCCCCGGUAAACGGCGGCCGUAACUAUAACGGUCCUAAGGUAGCGAAAUUCCUUGUCGGGUAAGUUCCGACCUGCACGAAUGGCGUAAUGAUGGCCAGGCUGUCUCCACCCGAGACUCAGUGAAAUUGAACUCGCUGUGAAGAUGCAGUGUACCCGCGGCAAGACGGAAAGACCCCGUGAACCUUUACUAUAGCUUGACACUGAACAUUGAGCCUUGAUGUGUAGGAUAGGUGGGAGGCUUUGAAGUGUGGACGCCAGUCUGCAUGGAGCCGACCUUGAAAUACCACCCUUUAAUGUUUGAUGUUCUAACGUGGACCCGUAAUCCGGGUUGCGGACAGUGUCUGGUGGGUAGUUUGACUGGGGCGGUCUCCUCCUAAAGAGUAACGGAGGAGCACGAAGGUUGGCUAAUCCUGGUCGGACAUCAGGAGGUUAGUGCAAUGGCAUAAGCCAGCUUGACUGCGAGCGUGACGGCGCGAGCAGGUGCGAAAGCAGGUCAUAGUGAUCCGGUGGUUCUGAAUGGAAGGGCCAUCGCUCAACGGAUAAAAGGUACUCCGGGGAUAACAGGCUGAUACCGCCCAAGAGUUCAUAUCGACGGCGGUGUUUGGCACCUCGAUGUCGGCUCAUCACAUCCUGGGGCUGAAGUAGGUCCCAAGGGUAUGGCUGUUCGCCAUUUAAAGUGGUACGCGAGCUGGGUUUAGAACGUCGUGAGACAGUUCGGUCCCUAUCUGCCGUGGGCGCUGGAGAACUGAGGGGGGCUGCUCCUAGUACGAGAGGACCGGAGUGGACGCAUCACUGGUGUUCGGGUUGUCAUGCCAAUGGCACUGCCCGGUAGCUAAAUGCGGAAGAGAUAAGUGCUGAAAGCAUCUAAGCACGAAACUUGCCCCGAGAUGAGUUCUCCCUGAGACUUAGAGUCUCCUGAAGGAACGUUGAAGACGACGACGUUGAUAGGCCGGGUGUGUAAGCGCAGCGAUGCGUUGAGCUAACCGGUACUAAUGAACCGUGAGGCUUAACCUU
This 2990-nucleotide ribosomal RNA is filed under the name Salmonella enterica subsp. enterica serovar Typhimurium str. SARA13. RNAcentral's name for it is "23S ribosomal RNA". It matches the Rfam family "Bacterial large subunit ribosomal RNA". The record is from RNAcentral. Lineage: Bacteria; Pseudomonadati; Pseudomonadota; Gammaproteobacteria; Enterobacterales; Enterobacteriaceae.